GGCGGAUGAUGCCAAGUGGAUAAAG
Molecule: transfer RNA, 25 nt
Filed under: Passiflora foetida
Lineage: Eukaryota; Viridiplantae; Streptophyta; Magnoliopsida; Malpighiales; Passifloraceae
Description: partial tRNA-His
Source: RNAcentral